GGGGAAUAUUGGACAAUGGGGGCAACCCUGAUCCAGCAAUGCCGCGUGUGUGAAGAAGGUCUUCGGAUUGUAAAGCACUUUCGACGGGGACGAUGAUGACGGUACCCGUAGAAGAAGCCCCGGCUAACUUCGUGCCAGCAGCCGCGGUAAUACGAAGGGGGCUAGCGUUGCUCGGAAUGACUGGGCGUAAAGGGCGUGUAGGCGGUUUACACAGUCAGAUGUGAAAUCCCCGGGCUUAACCUGGGAGCUGCAUUUGAAUACGUGUAGACUAGAGUGUGAGAGAGGGUUGUGGAA
RNAcentral lists this ribosomal RNA (294 nucleotides) under uncultured bacterium. Its description in RNAcentral is "partial 16S ribosomal RNA". It matches the Rfam family "Bacterial small subunit ribosomal RNA", at positions 356 to 666 of the family's 1533-position model. The record is from RNAcentral.